This 484-nucleotide ribosomal RNA is filed under the name uncultured bacterium. Its description in RNAcentral is "partial 16S ribosomal RNA". It matches the Rfam family "Bacterial small subunit ribosomal RNA", at positions 28 to 523 of the family's 1533-position model. The record is from RNAcentral.
GACGAACGCUGGCGGCGUGCUUAACACAUGCAAGUCGAACGAUGAAGCUGGAGCUUGCUCUAGCGGAUUAGUGGCGAACGGGUGAGUAACACGUGAGCAAUCUGCCCUUGACUCUGGGAUAACUGCGGGAAACUGUAGCUAAUACCGGAUACUUUCACCGGGGGGCAUCCUCUGGUGAUGAAAGAAUUUCGGUCAAGGAUGAGCUCGCGGCCUAUCAGCUCGUUGGUGAGGUAACGGCUCACCAAGGCGACGACGGGUAACCGGCCUGAGAGGGUGACCGGUCACACUGGGACUGAGACACGGCCCAGACUCCUACGGGAGGCAGCAGUGGGGAAUAUUGCACAAUGGGCGCAAGCCUGAUGCAGCAACGCCGCGUGAGGGAUGAAGGCCUUCGGGUUGUAAACCUCUUUAAGCAGGGAAGAAGCGAAAGUGACGGUACCUGCAGAAAAAGCACCGGCUAACUACGUGCCAGCCGCCGCCGUAA